CAAUCCUGGAUGAAGCCCUCCCGCGCCGGGACCUCAACUCCCACGGCGUCCGGGUCUUGUGGCGCUGCUUGGACUUCCUGGUGCGACAGGUGAGGCUGCGGCGUGUUUUCCAACAGAAGGCCGCCAGAGAAAAGGAGGUUAAUAAAGUCCUCAAUACGAAGCUGGAGGAGGCCUUGCAGCUCAUUGAGGUGCUGCAGGCCACGGGGUCCUUUGAACAGGAUGGCGGUGAUGGAGGAGACGAUCUGUCCAAUCAGCCUGUUGAGGUUGGCGUAGGUGGGGCGUAGUUGUUGGCUGCGUCCUCCUUACCGGUGAUCAGCUGCUCGGGGUGGAAGAGCUGGCGGCAGGUUCCUUAAAUGAUGAUGAUGAGGAGGUGAAGGCCCUUCGGCGAGAGGGACAAUUGUUUAUUUAUUCAAUCCUGGAUGAAGCCCUCCCGCGCCGGGACC
Molecule: long non-coding RNA, 443 nt
Organism: Trematomus bernacchii (emerald rockcod)
Lineage: Eukaryota; Metazoa; Chordata; Actinopteri; Perciformes; Nototheniidae
Exons: 3
Source: RefSeq, a predicted model, not a curated record